Molecule: long non-coding RNA, 902 nt
Organism: Herpailurus yagouaroundi (jaguarundi)
Lineage: Eukaryota; Metazoa; Chordata; Mammalia; Carnivora; Felidae
Exons: 2
Source: RefSeq, a predicted model, not a curated record
CCCGAGUAACGGUCUGCGGGGCUGGGCUGGGGCGGGGGCCCGGUCCUCGCGUUCCAUCUGGCCACUCCCGAGGCUGGUUCUGAACCCGGUUCCCGGGACCCGCGAGCUUCGGCACGGCCCCGCCCCCCGGGCUCGCCAGCCCGCCCUGUCCCCUCCCCCCGCUCCCCACUCCUUCCCGUUCCCCCUCUUCCUCUUUGUCCCCUCCCCCUCUCUCGGUCACCAGCGCCCUCCGGAGCAGCCUCGUCCUGAACGUCUAGCGAGGAGCCAGCACGCCUUGCGGGGCCUCGGCUGUUUUAGUUAGCGACACGGACCGAGGAGAAAAUCGCUGUUACCCAUCUGUGGAUAUUCUGCGGGGAGAUUGAAAGAAAACCUGCUUCCUAUUCAUUGCCUGUCGUCAUCGCUGCCUUCACACCCUCCAGCGCUGGCGAGCCGGCAACUUUGAGUAAUUCCCCGAGAUACUGCCCAGAGUAUUUCGCGAGACAAGUCAGCCUCUUAGGACUCGCACAGUGACCCCAACCCGCUGCUCCCUUUCGGGUUCCUUUCCUGCAAACGACACUGCAUGGCUUGCACAUUGCAGUUUCCCAUGUCUUUAGUCACAGAAAAUGGUACCAUGUUUUCACAUUUUUCACAGACCAUCGCGCGCGCGGUUGUGUGAGUGUGUGUGUGUGUGUGUGCGCGCGCGCGCGCGCGUGCCACCAUUGCAGUACCCUCCCCCACGUUAUUCAUCGUAAAGAAAAACACUGCGUCCAAUCCUUGUGAUAUUCAAGCCAAUCCUGUGGGCAAUCUAUGCUCUCCAGCCAUCGGAACCAGAGGAAUUUACAGUCAUCCAUACAGGGUGACCGCAAGUCUGGAGAUGUAUAAAACCGAAGGCAGUGUGUGAAAAUCCGUAUUCACUCCCACAA